This 332-nucleotide ribosomal RNA is filed under the name uncultured eukaryote. RNAcentral's name for it is "partial 18S ribosomal RNA". It matches the Rfam family "Eukaryotic small subunit ribosomal RNA", at positions 1470 to 1796 of the family's 1831-position model. The record is from RNAcentral.
CCCUUAGAUGUUCUGGGCUGCACGCGCGCUACACUGUCGGAUUCAGCGAGUCAUAUCCUUAACCGAAAGGUUUGGGUAAUCUUUUGAAAGUCCGACGUGAUGGGGAUUGAUCAUUGCAAUUAUUGAUCAUGAACGAGGAAUUCCUAGUAAGCGCGAGUCAUCAGCUCGCGUUGAUUACGUCCCUGCCCUUUGUACACACCGCCCGUCGUUACUACCGAUUGAAUGGUUUAGUGAGAUCUUCGGAUUGGCGCCUACGCGGCUUCUCUGAGGCCACGCUGGAUGCCGAAAAGUUGCUCAAACUGUAUCAUUUAGAGGAAGUAAAAGUCGUAACA